AUGAUCCCAAAGCAGGAUGUGGUGUCUGAUCCUCCGCAGACUCCUGGGUUACCUCAGGUGAACCCCGGCGUCACCUCCCGGCUGCAGCCAGCUCAGAUCGCCACAGGUUUCCAGCCACACCCGGAGCUCUCAGGCGGGCGGGGAGAGCGGAGCUGCGGGCAGCGGGCGGGCAGAGCCGGGAUCUUCCCGGCAGCGCAGCCCCGGAGAGAGGGGAGCAUCACUCUGCAGCGUCCCGGAGCCCCGGGGUGGCACGGGGCCGGGCAUCCCACCGCAUCCACCGCCUCCCAUCGCAUCCACCGCCUCCUAUCGCAUCCCAUCGCAUCCACCGCCUCCCAUCGCAUCCCACCGCCUCCCAUAGCAGCCCAUCGCUUCCCGCCGCCUCCCACCGCAUCCACUGCCUCCCACCGCCUCGACCGCAUCCAUCCCAUCGCAUCCAUCACUUCCCAUCGCGUCCCACGCCCCCUCCGCGUCCCGGCCGGCCCUGCCCAGCCCCGCGGCAGGAGGAGCGGCUCCGCCCGGCCCCGCUGCCCGAGCUGCCGGAGCCGCUCCGCGCUCUCCUCCUCGCUUUGGAGAUGCUCGAGGCCUCUGUCAUCUGUGAGCAGCUGCCACAGAGGAAUUGUCCUGGCAGAGCCUGAAGGAAUCCGGGAUCACAGCACUCCCCAAGGUGCUCCUGUUCCCUCUGCCUGUGGAUGCUGCUGCCACCAAGGACACAGCUCUUCUCCCAACAACACCCACCCCUCUGGAAAUAAAAAUCCCCAAGCAACCCAACACAUUUUCAUCCAGGAGUGCAGACCACAACUGAACUUCCAAGGCCUGGACGUCCGCUCCGAUUCUCACUCUGUGUGCCCGUGAAGAAGAUGUCCAAGAACACAACAGAGAACUCAAGCAAUGCUCCCUCAGCUCUUCUAGGCCUGUUCCUUGGGAGCAUUUCCCUGA
Molecule: long non-coding RNA, 936 nt
Organism: Corvus moneduloides (New Caledonian crow)
Lineage: Eukaryota; Metazoa; Chordata; Aves; Passeriformes; Corvidae
Source: Ensembl